Molecule: ribosomal RNA, 229 nt
Filed under: uncultured bacterium
Lineage: Bacteria
Description: partial 16S ribosomal RNA
Rfam family: Bacterial small subunit ribosomal RNA
Source: RNAcentral
CGUGUAGGCGGCCGAGUGUGUCUUAUGUGAAAGCCCCAGGCUUAACCUGGGAAGUGCAUGGGAAACUACUUGGCUUGAGUGUGAGAGAGGAUGGCAGAAUUCCCAGAGUAGAGGUGAAAUUCGUAGAUACUGGGAGGAAUACCUGAGGCGAAGGCGGCCAUCUGGCUCACUACUGACGCUGAGACGCGAAAGCGUGGGGAGCAAACAGGAUUAGAUACCCUGGUAGUCC